GACGAACGCUGGCGGCGUGCUUAACACAUGCAAGUCGAACGGAAAGGCCCUUCGGGGUACUCGAGUGGCGAACGGGUGAGUAACACGUGGGUGAUCUGCCCUGCACUUUGGGAUAAGCCUGGGAAACUGGGUCUAAUACCGAAUAUGACCAUGCACUUCCUGGUGUGUGGUGGAAAGCUUUUGCGGUGUGGGAUGGGCCCGCGGCCUAUCAGCUUGUUGGUGGGGUAAUGGCCUACCAAGGCGACGACGGGUAGCCGGCCUGAGAGGGUGACCGGCCACACUGGGACUGAGAUACGGCCCAGACUCCUACGGGAGGCAGCAGUGGGGAAUAUUGCACAAUGGGCGCAAGCCUGAUGCAGCGACGCCGCGUGAGGGAUGACGGCCUUCGGGUUGUAAACCUCUUUCAAUAGGGACGAAGCGCAA
Molecule: ribosomal RNA, 423 nt
Filed under: Mycobacteriaceae bacterium Ellin7041
Lineage: Bacteria; Bacillati; Actinomycetota; Actinomycetes; Mycobacteriales; Mycobacteriaceae
Description: bacterial SSU rRNA
Rfam family: Bacterial small subunit ribosomal RNA
Source: RNAcentral